This 253-nucleotide ribosomal RNA is filed under the name uncultured bacterium. RNAcentral describes it as "partial 16S ribosomal RNA". It matches the Rfam family "Bacterial small subunit ribosomal RNA", at positions 524 to 776 of the family's 1533-position model. The record is from RNAcentral.
UACGGAGGGUGCGAGCGUUGUCCGGAAUCACUGGGCGUAAAGGGCGCGUAGGCGGCUCAGUAAGGUUGCGGUGAAAGCCCGGGGCUCAACCCCGGGUCGGCCGUGGCAACUGCUGGGCUAGAGCACUGUAGAGGCAGGUGGAAUUCCGGGUGUAGCGGUGGAAUGCGUAGAGAUCCGGAAGAACACCAGUGGCGAAGGCGGCUCACUGGCCCGAUACUGACGCUGAGGCACGAAAGCGUGGGGAGCAAACAGG